AAUACAACUUUCAACAGGGGAUCUCUUGGCUCUCGCAUCGAUAAAAAACGCAGCGAAAUGCGAUAAGUAAUGUGAAUUGCAAAAUUCAGUGAAUCAUCAAAUGUUUGAACGCAUCUUGCGCUCCUUGGUAUUCCUUGGAGCAUGCCUGUUUGAGUGUCAU
RNAcentral lists this ribosomal RNA (160 nucleotides) under Amanita oberwinkleriana. RNAcentral's name for it is "5.8S ribosomal RNA". It matches the Rfam family "5.8S ribosomal RNA". Rfam says of the family: 5.8S ribosomal RNA (5.8S rRNA) is a component of the large subunit of the eukaryotic ribosome. It is transcribed by RNA polymerase I as part of the 45S precursor that also contains 18S and 28S rRNA. The record is from RNAcentral. Lineage: Eukaryota; Fungi; Basidiomycota; Agaricomycetes; Agaricales; Amanitaceae.